This 629-nucleotide unclassified non-coding RNA is filed under the name Bombus terrestris (buff-tailed bumblebee). RNAcentral's name for it is "misc RNA ENSBTSG00005021573.1". The record is from RNAcentral. Lineage: Eukaryota; Metazoa; Arthropoda; Insecta; Hymenoptera; Apidae.
GAAUAUCAGCAGCCCAAUUUUGUUUAAUGACAAAAAUACUAGAAAAUUCCCUAUAACUUGAAUGCACCCUGCAAAAAUUUAGAUUUGUUUCUAGAAAAACACUGUAGAUGUUCACGCAUUUAUGGCCAAUUUGAAGAUACCAAAAUGCCUAGGCACGCGAAUACAUGUAAUACGCAAAAAUAUACGAAAUAUGUAAAGUACGAUAUAUGGUAAAUGCAUGGCACAAUAUCCAGCAGGUUAAACAAUUUCAUGUACAGAAUUCUAUUUCCUCGAUUAAAUUCGUAAAGCUAUAAAUUUGCAUGAAUAUCCGCAGUCUAGUUACGAUUAGUAAUAACGAAAUUAUUAAAAAAUCCCCUAUAAUUUUAAUAGGACGAGAAUCUUUGCCCGGUGAUUUAUUCGCAAAGAUAUUAUCGGAGGCCAUAAAAGAAUCGCAGGUUGCGGGGAUUACCUCUAACCGGAUCGAUCGUUGCGGCCAUCAUCGUUAUCGAAAACUGGAAAAAUAUAGGAAAAAGAGAGAAGAAAAAAUAUACCCGGCAUGUCGCUGACAACAGGCUACAUAACGUAAAAUGUGAAAUCGAAAAUGAUUCGUUUGAACCUGUUCGACAUAUUUUUCGGGCAGGUGAAUUUUA